Molecule: ribosomal RNA, 1335 nt
Filed under: uncultured bacterium
Lineage: Bacteria
Description: bacterial SSU rRNA
Rfam family: Bacterial small subunit ribosomal RNA
Source: RNAcentral
GACGAACGCUGGCGGCGUGCCUAACACAUGCAAGUCGAACGGAGAUAAAGAUUUCGGUUUUUAUCUUAGUGGCGCACGGGUGAGUAACACGUGAAUAACCUGACCCAAAGAGGGGGAUAACACCUGGAAACAGGUGCUAAUACCGCAUAAGACCACAAUGUCGCAUGACGAAGGGGUCAAAGAAAAUCGCUUUGGGAGGGGUUCGCGUCCCAUUAGGUAGUAGGCGGGGUAACAGCCCACCUAGCCGACGAUGGGUAGCCGAGCUGAGAGGCAGGUCCCCCACAUUGGAACUGAGACACGGUCCAAACUCCUACGGGAGGCAGCAGUGAGGAAUAUUGGUCAAUGGUCGGCAGACUGAACCAGCCAAGUCGCGUGAGGGAAGACGGCCCUACGGGUUGUAAACCUCUUUUGUCGGAGAGUAAAGUACGCUACGUGUAGUGUAUUGCAAGUAUCCGAAGAAAAAGCAUCGGCUAACUCCGUGCCAGCAGCCGCGGUAAUACGGAGGAUGCAAGCGUUAUCCGGAUUUAUUGGGUUUAAAGGGUGCGUAGGCGGCACGCCAAGUCAGCGGUGAAAUUUCCGGGCUCAACCCGGAGUGUGCCGUUGAAACUGGCGAGCUAGAGUACACAAGAGGCAGGCGGAAUGCGUGGUGUAGCGGUGAAAUGCAUAGAUAUCACGCAGAACCCCGAUUGCGAAGGCAGCCUGCUAGGGUGAAACAGACGCUGAGGCACGAAAGCGUGGGUAUCGAACAGGAUUAGAUACCCUGGUAGUCCACGCAGUAAACGAUGAAUACUAACUGUUUGCGAUACAAUGUAAGCGGUACGGCGAAAGCGUUAAGUAUUCCUCCUGGGGAGUACGCCGGCAACGGUGAAACUCAAAGGAAUUGACGGGGGCCCGCACAAGCGGAGGAACAUGUGGUUUAAUUCGAUGAUACGCGAGGAACCUUACCCGGGCUCAAACGCAGGGGGAAUAUAUAUGAAAGUAUAUAGCUAGCAAUAGUCACCUGCGAGGUGCUGCAUGGUUGUCGUCAGCUCGUGCCGUGAGGUGUCGGCUUAAGUGCCAUAACGAGCGCAACCCCUAUCGACAGUUACUAACGGGUCAAGCCGAGGACUCUGUCGAGACUGCCGGCGCAAGCCGCGAGGAAGGUGGGGAUGACGUCAAAUCAGCACGGCCCUUACGUCCGGGGCGACACACGUGUUACAAUGGCAGGUACAGAAGGCAGCCAGUCAGCAAUGACGCGCGAAUCCCGAAAACCUGUCUCAGUUCGGAUUGGAGUCUGCAACCCGACUCCAUGAAGCUGGAUUCGCUAGUAAUCGCGCAUCAGCCAUGGCGCGGUGA